GAUGAACGCUGACAGAAUGCUUAACACAUGCAAGUCAACUUGAACUUCGGUUUGGGUGGCGGACGGGUGAGUAACGCGUAAAGAACUUGCCUCACAGCUAGGGACAACAUUUGGAAACGAAUGCUAAUACCUGAUAUUAUGAUUAUAUGGCAUCGUAUAAUUAUGAAAGCUAUAUGUGCUGUGAGAGAGCUUUGCGUCCCAUUAGCUAGUUGGAGAGGUAACAGCUCACCAAGGCGAUGAUGGGUAGCCGGCCUGAGAGGGUGAUCGGCCACAAGGGGACUGAGACACGGCCCUUACUCCUACGGGAGGCAGCAGUGGGGAAUAUUGGACAAUGGACCGAGAGUCUGAUCCAGCAAUUCUGUGUGCAAGAUGAAGUUUUUCGGAAUGUAAAGUGCUUUCAGUUGGGAAGAAAAAAAUGACGGUACCAACAGAAGAAGUGACGGCUAAAUACGUG
This 454-nucleotide ribosomal RNA is filed under the name uncultured bacterium. Its description in RNAcentral is "partial 16S ribosomal RNA". It matches the Rfam family "Bacterial small subunit ribosomal RNA", at positions 28 to 507 of the family's 1533-position model. The record is from RNAcentral.